This is a non-coding RNA of Hyaena hyaena (striped hyena), 75 nucleotides long. The record is from the annotation of a RefSeq genome assembly. NCBI's taxonomy places the organism in Eukaryota, Metazoa, Chordata, Mammalia, Carnivora, Hyaenidae.
GCUGCUGGCUAGCUCAGUUGGUAGAGCGUGUGGCUGUUGAUCUCAAGGCCAUGAGUUCAAGCCUCGUGCUGAGCA